RNAcentral lists this transfer RNA (66 nucleotides) under Opamata lipcowa. RNAcentral's name for it is "tRNA-Phe". Lineage: Eukaryota; Metazoa; Arthropoda; Insecta; Hemiptera; Cicadellidae. The record is from RNAcentral.
ACUUUAAUAGCUUAUUAUUUAGAGUGCUGCCUUGAAGAUGCAGAGGAGGGUUUAUUUCUUAAAGUA